This 253-nucleotide ribosomal RNA is filed under the name uncultured bacterium. Its description in RNAcentral is "partial 16S ribosomal RNA". It matches the Rfam family "Bacterial small subunit ribosomal RNA", at positions 524 to 776 of the family's 1533-position model. The record is from RNAcentral.
GACGAAGGAUGCAAGCGUUAUCCGGAUUCAUUGGGUUUAAAGGGUGCGUAGGCGGACUGAUAAGUCAGUGGUGAAAUCUCUUUGCUUAACAAAGAAACUGCCAUUGAUACUGUCGGUCUAGAGUAUAGAUGACGUUGGCGGAAUAUGACAUGUAGUGGUGAAAUACUUAGAUAUGUCAUAGAACGCCGAUUGCGAAGGCAGCUAACGAAACUAUAACUGACGCUGAGGCACGAAAGUGCGGGGAUCAAACAGG